GUCUCCCAAUAAAACCGACGCAUCUCGACGGGGAAACAGGAUUUUACAGACUUCCUUUUUAAUACCGCAUCACGAGCAUCCCACCGCCUCUGCACUGUUCCGGCGUCGGAAUUAAAUUUCGAUACACGACCCCACGAUGCACUUAUAUCACCGUUGAUUACGCUAAUCAAGGGACUCCCGAGUCUCGUACUUGUUUUACAAUGCUGAGCAAAACAGAGCUAGGAAAUUGGAGUAUAGAGGCCAAACAGCGUGGUUCGUAUGCGUGUAACGCACGUAACGUACUGCGCCAUGGGGGCACGUCGCAAGGGGUUGUUGGCGCACAACAGAAGGGGAUUUAUACGAGGGCCCUGAGGGGAGCGAUCGUGCAGGGUACACGCGUGUAAAGGGAAAAGAGUGGCCCCAACCAACCGACCCACACGCGACGCCUGUAUGUAUUCGCUAUUCAUUCCUAUAACAGUAAUCGUGGAGCGAGAACGGUGGUGUGGUGUAGUGAAUCGAGUCCCCCUUCUUCUCGCGCUGUGCGACGCCAGCUGCGGAACACGCAACAGCAGAAAGGGCCCCGAUUCUAUGCCGCACAUUUUUAACCAGAAUAUUAUCGUAUAAGGAACCUAAACGGACGACAACCGGUAGACUGCAUUAUGAUCGUUCACGUGGCCGUGACGAUCGAUAGAUCUUGGAAAAUAUCUUCAAUCCAACGAAUGUGUGAAAUUCGAACGGAACUUAGAGUAACGAAUAAUAAAAUCCUCGUGAAAUUUUACCUCUAGAUGAUGAAUUGGAGCUGAUGUAAAUCCGGUUCAUGAUGAGCGAGUAAAGUCUAAACGUUGUACUACGGGAAGAAAUUCCUCUUCCGAUGAAAUGGCUGGGCCAUUGCUUCUACUUAAAAAUAAAUGAAACAGAAGCUGGGAGUGACUCCCAGACGAGUUAUACUCACAUUAUAUUGUGAUGAAGUUUAUCCCGAUGAGUUUUGUAGAACAGAAGCUUGUAAUUUCUCUCAUCCAGGAGCAAUAAAACUAUAACGUUUCAAUGUA
Athalia rosae (coleseed sawfly) is the source of this 1028-nucleotide long non-coding RNA. RefSeq lists it as uncharacterized. The record is from RefSeq and is a predicted model, not a curated record. NCBI's taxonomy places the organism in Eukaryota, Metazoa, Arthropoda, Insecta, Hymenoptera, Athaliidae. The transcript has 2 exons.